UACAGAGGUCCCAAGCGUUGUUCGGAUUCAUUGGGCGUAAAGGGUGCGUAGGUGGCGCGCUAAGUCAGGUGUGAAAUUUCGGAGCUUAACUCCGAAACUGCAUUUGAUACUGCCUUGCUUGAGGACUGGAGAGGAGACUGGAAUUCACGGUGUAGCAGUGAAAUGCGUAGAUAUCGUGAGGAAGACCAGUGGCGAAGGCGGGUCUCUGGACAGUUCCUGACACUGAGGCACGAAGGCCAGGGGAGCAAACGGG
RNAcentral lists this ribosomal RNA (253 nucleotides) under uncultured bacterium. Its description in RNAcentral is "partial 16S ribosomal RNA". It matches the Rfam family "Bacterial small subunit ribosomal RNA", at positions 524 to 776 of the family's 1533-position model. The record is from RNAcentral.